CACCGAACGGCCAAAUUGAAAUUUAUUUGCCUCUCCAAAUUACUAUCAUUUACAUCUGAUGUCUGUCAUUCUCACUACUUAUUUUGCAUCUUUCUUGCUCUGAUAUUCUCUGUUUGAGUGAGGCUAAUGAGCUGGAUGACACGGAGAAGAAGUGGUUGACAGAGAGGAUGAAACUGCUGCUUUGUGGAGAUUCAGGCCAAAUUCAAGAAGAUACGAGUUCUGCGAAGGUUGUUCGGGAAUGAAAAUGUCUUGAUAGUAUUCCUGGUAGACAUGGUGGGAAUUCCCAUGGUAUUUUCAUAAGUCUCUGUGUUUAUAAAACAUUGUUUGAUUCUCCAGUAAGGAGAUGUCAUUUUCUUUUAUUCUUUUUCGUCUUAUUAUUUUCCUGUUGAUUGCAAGAGGAAAUGGAUACAAAGUUGACAAUCUAUUCUUGUUUCAGUGCUUCCGAGCACGUAGAAUGAAAGAAAAAUUAAAAGAGAAAUAUAAUACAGCAAGUUUAAAUUCUUCUAUCACCAACAGAACAUAAAGCUGCCAUGUGAAUUUUUGUUCCUUGUAUGGAAUUUCAUCCCACUGAAUAGAAUUCUCUCAUUAUUGUCUUUCAUUUUUUUGAAGUUCUCCUGCAUUGUAUGUGCUCGGAAACUUACUUGUUUCACCACAUCAGAAAUUGUUUACAGAGGGGGUCACCUAAGAUUACUCUUUGACUUUAUUGCAUCAUGAAAUACUAACCCAAUAGCAUCCAUCAUUUUCCUAAAAUGAUUUAUUCUUUUCUUUGAUUAUUAUUUAUGAUUUUUUCAUGCAAGUUUUGGUAUGUUGUAGGAAAUUGUAUCAUGUUUUGUGUGCUUUUAUUUAUAACUUCACAUUAUAGCCAAGUCUGUUUUGUUUUAUAUUUCCAAGCACACAGAAUGAAAAAAUUUCAGUGAGAAACAUGUAGCAAGUUUAUAUUCUGCUAGCAUUAAAAAAUAAGAAAAAGAAAAAGAAAAAGAAAAGGCUGCUGUAUUUUUUGUUCCUUUCAUGGAAUUCCAUCCCCCACUCGAUGUGCUAUAUGUUCUAUUAAUGGAGUUACUGUCUGAUGAAAAUUUACAAUCACUCUUUCUUGCUUUUUUUUUGGUUGUUGUGCAUUUGAAAUUGAAUGGAGUUACUUUUUGGACUGGAAGUACUUGAUCUAAUACACCAUCUAGUAUGUUUGAUCACUCAUUAUUGGCCUUAUAGUUUUCAUCAUUUUUCCAUGUUAUUGUCCAUCUUGUGCUUGUUUAUUACUUAAUAAAGCAAAUGAUUUUAAAAAUUUUCACCAAAAUUGUUUUCUUUUUUCAAAAUUCCCUAUUUCCCAUUUUAUGCUUUGCUUAUUUCUGGCUAUUAAUUGAACAGAGCGGAACUGAUAGCAAAUGAUUCAUAUAGCCAACCCCGACUGAUUUGGGACUAAGGCUUAGUUGUUGUAUAUAUCUUUUACCAUGACAAUUAUUCGUGUUUUUUUACAAUGCAAUUUUCUGUGCAUUUGGAUUUGUGUUCAAAUGAUCCAUUUUUAAGUGUUGUUGCUGGAGGUAUACAUUAAUGAUUCUAAUUCUGGAGAAUGCCAUUUCAUUAAAAGCGACUGUUAAAGGUACCAAGUUCCAUUUUCUCACAUUUUUAUUACAAUUUAUUUAAAAAUUCUGUUAACUGGUUGUUCCUUUUCUCAUCUGAUAUGGGAACUGAUAGUCACCAUGUUACUUUAUGGUGGUGAUGAUACAAAUGUACUUCUAAUAUCAUGAACUUAAUGGUUUAUUUGUUACAGGUUGGUGGUUAAGUUUAGGAGGUAUGGCAGGAAGCUGCAUUGACUGAAAAGCAUGGUGGGGGUUUACUUGGAGUCAUUAAAGAAAUCAUUUAAUGGUAGAUUCUGAACUCACAGAGAGCUGUCUCCGAGGCUUGGAUAUAACAUUCAGAUUACAAGUGCAUUAACUCUUCUAGAAAGUCAACAACCACGUGCUUGGUUUCAAUCUACACUACAUAUUUACAUUCAGAAUUCUAAAUUAGAAUUUUCACUAAUAUUAGGCUGGUUUCAGUAAUUAAAUGAACUUAUUCCAUUACAUUUGAAAUCUUGUAUUGCAUGCAAAGAAAUCAACUGGUUCUAUAAAUUGAUGGAGAUUGAAGGUCUGACAAUGGAAACAGAAAAACAUUUUGGGUUGUUGAA
Molecule: long non-coding RNA, 2161 nt
Organism: Jatropha curcas
Lineage: Eukaryota; Viridiplantae; Streptophyta; Magnoliopsida; Malpighiales; Euphorbiaceae
Source: RefSeq, a predicted model, not a curated record